This 586-nucleotide ribosomal RNA is filed under the name uncultured bacterium. Its description in RNAcentral is "partial 16S ribosomal RNA". It matches the Rfam family "Bacterial small subunit ribosomal RNA", at positions 355 to 1375 of the family's 1533-position model. The record is from RNAcentral.
UGGGGAGUUUUGGACAAUGGGCGAAAGCCUGAUCCAGCAAUGCCGCGUGUGUGAAGAAGGCCUUCGGGUUGUAAAGCACUUUUGUCCGGAAAGAAAUCCUUGGCUCUAAUACAGUCGGGGGAUGACGGUACCGGAAGAAUAAGCACCGGCUAACUACGUGCCAGCAGCCGCGGUAAUACGUAGGGUGCAAGCGUUAAUCGGAAUUACUGGGCGUAAAGCGUGCGCAGGCGGUUUGCUAAGACCGAUGUGAAAUCCCCGGGCUCAACCUGGGAACUGCAUUGGUGACUGGCAGGCUAGAGUAUGGCAGAGGGGGGUAGAAUUCCACGUGUAGCAGUGAAAUGCGUAGAGAUGUGGAGGAAUACCGAUGGCGAAGGCAGCCCCCUGGGCCAAUACUGACGCUCAUGCACGAAAGCGUGGGGAGCAAAACAGGAUUAGAUACCCUGGUAGUCCACGCCCUAAACGAUGUCAACUAGUUGUUGGGGAUUCAUUUCCUUAGUAACGUAGCUAACGCGUGAAGUUGACCGCCUGGGGAGUACGGUCGCAAGAUUAAAACUCAAAGGAAUUGACGGGGUCAUAGCUGUUUCCU